CCUACGGGGUGCAGCAGUGAGGAAUAUUGGGCAAUGGAGGAAACUCUGACCCAGCCAUGCCGCGUGAGUGAAGAAGGUUUUCGAAUUGUAAAGCUCUUUCGGAUGUGAAGAUGAUGACGGUAACAUCUUAAGAAGCCCCGGCAAACUUCGUGCCAGCAGCCGCGGUAAUACGAAGGGGGCAAGCGUUGUUCGGAAUCACUGGGCGUAAAGGGUGUGUAGGCGGGAAAGUAAGAUAGUGGUGAAAUGCCUGAGCGCAACUUGGGAACUGCUAUUAUAACUAUUUGUCUAGAGUGAAAGAGAGGAGAUCGGAAGACCCAGUGUAGAGGUGAAAUUCGUAGAUAUUGGGUAGAACACCGGGGGCGAAGGCGAGUAUCUGGCUGUCAACUGACGCUGAGGCACGAAAGCAUGGGGAGCAAACAGGAUUAGAUACCCUAGUAGUC
RNAcentral lists this ribosomal RNA (440 nucleotides) under uncultured bacterium. RNAcentral's name for it is "partial 16S ribosomal RNA". It matches the Rfam family "Bacterial small subunit ribosomal RNA", at positions 338 to 795 of the family's 1533-position model. The record is from RNAcentral.